GCGGAUGCGGCUCAAUGGUCGAGCGCCGCCUCGCCAAGGUGGAUGGUGACGGUUCGAGUCCGUUCAUCCGCU
Molecule: transfer RNA, 72 nt
Filed under: Lentisphaeria bacterium
Lineage: Bacteria; Pseudomonadati; Lentisphaerota; Lentisphaeria
Description: tRNA-Gly
Rfam family: tRNA
About the family: Transfer RNA (tRNA) molecules are approximately 80 nucleotides in length. Their secondary structure includes four short double-helical elements and three loops (D, anti-codon, and T loops). Further hydrogen bonds mediate the characteristic L-shaped molecular structure. tRNAs have two regions of fundamental functional importance: the anti-codon, which is responsible for specific mRNA codon recognition, and the 3' end, to which the tRNAs corresponding amino acid is attached (by aminoacyl-tRNA synthetases). tRNAs cope with the degeneracy of the genetic code in two manners: having more than one tRNA (with a specific anti-codon) for a particular amino acid; and 'wobble' base-pairing, i.e. permitting non-standard base-pairing at the 3rd anti-codon position.
Source: RNAcentral